CUGAGUUACCGCUCUAUAACCCUUUGUGAACAUACCUAUAUGUUGCUUCGGCGGUCGGCCCCCGGGCCCCGGCCCGCUCACGCGGGGCGUCCGCCGGAGGAUAACCAAACUCUGAUUUAACGACGUUUCUUCUGAGUGGCACAAGCAAAUAAUCA
This 155-nucleotide unclassified non-coding RNA is filed under the name uncultured fungus. RNAcentral's name for it is "sequence contains ITS1". The record is from RNAcentral. Lineage: Eukaryota; Fungi.